Molecule: ribosomal RNA, 500 nt
Filed under: uncultured bacterium
Lineage: Bacteria
Description: partial 16S ribosomal RNA
Rfam family: Bacterial small subunit ribosomal RNA
Source: RNAcentral
AUUGAACGCUGGCGGCAUGCCUUACACAUGCAAGUCGAACGGCAGCACGGGAGCAAUCCUGGUGGCGAGUGGCGAACGGGUGAGUAAAGUAUCGGAACGUGCCCAGUCGUGGGGGAUAACGUAGCGAAAGUUACGCUAAUACCGCAUACGAUCUAUGGAUGAAAGCGGGGGAUCGCAAGACCUCGCGCGAUUGGAGCGGCCGAUAUCAGAUUAGGUAGUUGGUGGGGUAAAGGCUCACCAAGCCGACGAUCUGUAGCUUGUCUGAGGGGAAGACCAGCCGCACUGGGACUGAGACACGGACCAGACUCCUACGGGAGGCAGCAGUCGGGAAUUUUGGACAAUGGGCGAAAGCCUGAUCCAGCCAUGCCGCGUGCAGGAUGAAGGCCUUCGGGUUGUAAACUGCUUUUGUACGGAACGAAAAGGUUUGGGCUAAUAAGCUGAGCUCAUGACGGUACCGUAGGAAUAAGCACCGGCUAACUACGUGCCAGCAGCCGCCGCAG